AUGGGACAUGUGCAGCCCAGCAAUGUCCUUGUAGAAAGCUGCACUGCUCUCUGGUUGAGCGAUGGAGGUCCUGGUCUGGUCACGUCCCCCCUCCAGGUCUGUCUGUUUCAUGUGUCCCUGAUGGCCAGGAGACACCCCUCCUGGGCCAGCCAUGCCACCCUCCCCGUUGUGACAUGGGCCGCCACCAAUGUUCUGCCCACUGUGACAUGGCCACCACAUCACCAGGGAGGUGCCAGGAGCUGGUGGCUGCCUGCUGUGAUAUGGCCACCACAUCACCAGGGCUGCUGUAGCACUGAGACAUGGCUGUCACCUUCCACCAUUCAGAAAACACACCACAAUAUUAUGACUGACUUUCACCUGACAUGAGAGGAGGCCAUACUUCGUGUCAGUACCUCAAUGCAUUAAAACCGCGCUUGCUGAACGGCCUGAAAGGCCACAGAAGUUUCUUCUGACCAGUGACUGAUCUGUAAGGACCACAGGAUAUCAGAGAUACUCUAAGACAACGAAAGGAAGGCAGGCUGCGGCAGCACCCCCGAUCCAGCACGUUUUAUGACGCCCAAGGCAGCAUGGUUUGUCUCAUCACCAGGCCUACGAAAUCCUCCGAACAAAAGGACAGGCUCCCUGGUUCCUAGGGAGACUGAAGGAGGACAGGGGUGACAGAAAAAAGGGAGCUCCAUAAAUCACCAGUGUGUGAAGGGUGGAAAAAAAAUCAACACUGAUCCGAAAAAAAUUUACAUUUUUCAGUUAUCGGGUUAGAAGUAGAUGUGGUAAUGCAGAACAGCAGGGAGCUCGAGACGUCACGCCGUCCGUCCUGCACCCAUCUAGGGGGCCGGGCCAGCUCCAUGCACAGCACUGCCUUCUGGCACACAUCCCUGUGUGACAACAUAAAACCUCCACGUUCUGCUCUGCAGAACUACUACUGCCUACUAUUUGACCCCCAUUUGUACAGAUGAUUUCUCCGUAUGUCCAACAGAUCGCAAUGGUACCUUCUGAUUACCUUUCUUUCUUUUCCAGACCCUUUCUCCAACUCAUCUAUUUAAUUUUGAAACCU
RNAcentral lists this long non-coding RNA (1051 nucleotides) under Anser cygnoides (Swan goose). RNAcentral's name for it is "lncRNA (ENSACDG00005000503.1)". Lineage: Eukaryota; Metazoa; Chordata; Aves; Anseriformes; Anatidae. The record is from RNAcentral.